Molecule: ribosomal RNA, 429 nt
Filed under: Chloroflexota bacterium
Lineage: Bacteria; Bacillati; Chloroflexota
Description: Chloroflexi bacterium partial 16S ribosomal RNA
Rfam family: Bacterial small subunit ribosomal RNA
Source: RNAcentral
UGGGGAAUAUUGCACAAUGGGCGCAAGCCUGAUGCAGCCAUGCCGCGUGUAUGAAGAAGGCCUUCGCGUUGUAAAGUACUUUCAGCGGGGAGGAAGGGAGUAAAGUUAAUACCUUUGCUCAUUGACGUUACCCGCAGAAGAAGCACCGGCUAACUCCGUGCCAGCAGCCGCGGUAAUACGGAGGGUGCAAGCGUUAAUCGGAAUUACUGGGCGUAAAGCGCACGCAGGCGGUUUGUUAAGUCAGAUGUGAAAUCCUCGGGCUCAACCUGGGAACUGCAUCUGAUACUGGCAAGCUUGAGUCUCGUAGAGGGGGGUAGAAUUCCAGGUGUAGCGGUGAAAUGCGUAGAGAUCUGGAGGAAUACCGGUGGCGAAGGCGGCCCCCUGGACGAAGACUGACGCUCAGGUGCGAAAGCGUGGGGAGCAAACAGG